This 1322-nucleotide ribosomal RNA is filed under the name Salmonella enterica subsp. enterica serovar Typhimurium. RNAcentral's name for it is "partial 23S ribosomal RNA". It matches the Rfam family "Bacterial large subunit ribosomal RNA", at positions 1 to 1269 of the family's 2925-position model. Lineage: Bacteria; Pseudomonadati; Pseudomonadota; Gammaproteobacteria; Enterobacterales; Enterobacteriaceae. The record is from RNAcentral.
GGGUUGUGAGGUUAAGCGACUAAGCGUACACGGUGGAUGCCCUGGCAGUCAGAGGCGAUGAAGGGCGUGCUAAUCUGCGAUAAGCGCCGGUAAGGUGAUAUGAACCGUUAUAACCGGCGAUACCCGAAUGGGGAAACCCAGUGUGAUUCGUCACACUAUCAUUAACUGAAUCCAUAGGUUAAUGAGGCGAACCGGGGGAACUGAAACAUCUAAGUACCCCGAGGAAAAGAAAUCAACCGAGAUUCCCCCAGUAGCGGCGAGCGAACGGGGAGGAGCCCAGAGCCUGAAUCAGCAUGUGUGUUAGUGGAAGCGUCUGGAAAGGCGCGCGAUACAGGGUGACAGCCCCGUACACAAAAGCGCAUGUGCUGUGAGCUCGAUGAGUAGGGCGGGACACGUGGUAUCCUGUCUGAAUAUGGGGGGACCAUCCUCCAAGGCUAAAUACUCCUGACUGACCGAUAGUGAACCAGUACCGUGAGGGAAAGGCGAAAAGAACCCCGGCGAGGGGAGUGAAAAAGAACCUGAAACCGUGUACGUACAAGCAGUGGGAGCACCCUUCGGGGUGUGACUGCGUACCUUUUGUAUAAUGGGUCAGCGACUUAUAUUCUGUAGCAAGGUUAACCGUAUAGGGGAGCCGGAGGGAAACCGAGUCUUAACCGGGCGUUAAGUUGCAGGGUAUAGACCCGAAACCCGGUGAUCUAGCCAUGGGCAGGUUGAAGGUUGGGUAACACUAACUGGAGGACCGAACCGACUAAUGUUGAAAAAUUAGCGGAUGACCUGUGGCUGGGGGUGAAAGGCCAAUCAAACCGGGAGAUAGCUGGUUCUCCCCGAAAGCUAUUUAGGUAGCGCCUCGUGAAUUCAUCUCCGGGGGUAGAGCACUGUUUCGGCUAGGGGGCCAUCCCGGCUUACCAACCCGAUGCAAACUGCGAAUACCGGAGAAUGUUAUCACGGGAGACACACGGCGGGUGCUAACGUCCGUCGUGAAGAGGGAAACAACCCAGACCGCCAGCUAAGGUCCCAAAGUCAUGGUUAAGUGGGAAACGAUGUGGGAAGGCCCAGACAGCCAGGAUGUUGGCUUAGAAGCAGCCAUCAUUUAAAGAAAGCGUAAUAGCUCACUGGUCGAGUCGGCCUGCGCGGAAGAUGUAACGGGGCUAAACCAUGCACCGAAGCUGCGGCAGCGAACGUAUCACCCAAGACAACUUUACGGAGUUGACGAUUGACGGAGCGAAGCGACGUCAAAGCGUUCAUUAAAGUCGAGUUGGCUUAGGGAUACGUUCGUUGGGUAGGGGAGCGUUCUGUAAGCCUGUGAAGGUGUGUCGUGAGGC